CAGAGUUUCAGUAUUUCAGUGUUUCAGUGUUUCAGUAUUUUAGUGUUACAGCAUUUUAAUGUUUCAGUGUUUCAGUGUUUCAGAGUUUCAGUGUUUCAGUGUUUCAGUGUUUCAGUGUUUCAGUAUUUCAGUGUUUCAGUGUUUCAGUAUUUCAGUGUUUCAGUGUUUCAGAGUUUCAGUGUUUCAGUGUUUCAGUGUUUCAGUGUUUCAGUAUUUUAGUGUUACAGCAUUUUAAUGUUUCAGAGUUUCAGUGUUCAGUGUUUCAGUGUUUCAGUGUUUCAGUGUUUCAGUGUUUCAGUAUUUCAGUGUUUCAGUGUUUCAGUGUUUUAGUGUUUCAGUGUUUUAGUGUUCAGUGUUUCAGUGUUUCAGUAUUUCAGUGUUUCAGUGUUUCAGUGUUUCAUGCGUUCAGUAUUUCAGUGUUUCAGUGUUUCAGUGUUUCAGUGUUUUAGUGUUUCAGUGUUUUAGUGUUUCAGUAUUUCAGUGUUUCAGUGUUUCAGUGUUUCAGUGUUUUAGUGUUUCAGAAUUUCAGUGUUUCAGAAUUUCAGUGUUUCAGUGUUUCAGUGUUUCAGUGUUUCAGUAUUUUAGUGUUACAGCAUUUUAAUGUUUCAGUGUUUCAGUGUUUCAGUGUUUUAGUGUUUCAGUGUUUCAGUGUUUCAGUGUUUUAGUGUUUCAGUAUUUCAGUGUUUCAGUGUUUCAGUGUUUCAGUGCUUCAGUAUGUGAGUGUAUGAAAGUUAUACACUCUGUAUUAAUCUGAAAUAUAUGAGUGAGCUGGAGAGUCGCUUCCGUCAGCUGUUACAUGUUUGAAGACCGUGAGGUUU
This is a long non-coding RNA of Ictalurus punctatus (channel catfish), 818 nucleotides long. The record is from Ensembl. NCBI's taxonomy places the organism in Eukaryota, Metazoa, Chordata, Actinopteri, Siluriformes, Ictaluridae.